This 422-nucleotide ribosomal RNA is filed under the name uncultured bacterium. RNAcentral describes it as "bacterial SSU rRNA". It matches the Rfam family "Bacterial small subunit ribosomal RNA", at positions 355 to 774 of the family's 1533-position model. The record is from RNAcentral.
UAAGGAAUAUUGGUCAAUGGAGGCAACUCUGAACCAGCCAUGCCGCGUGAAGGAUUAAGGCCCUCUGGGUCGUAAACUUCUUUUAUAUGGGAAGAAAUGUUCUGAUUCUUCAGAGCUUGACGGUACCAUCGGAAUAAGCACCGGCUAACUCCGUGCCAGCAGCCGCGGUAAUACGGAGGGUGCAAGCGUUAUCCGGAUUCACUGGGUUUAAAGGGUGCGUAGGUGGGCAGAUAAGUCAGUGGUGAAAUCUUCCGGCUUAACCGGAAAAUUGCCGUUGAUACUAUUUGUCUUGAAUAUUGUGGAGGUAAGCGGAAUAUGUCAUGUAGCGGUGAAAUGCUUAGAUAUGACAUAGAACACCAAUUGCGAAGGCAGCUUACUAUAUAAUUAUUGACACUGAGGCACAAAAGCGUGGGUAGCGAACA